GGGGGCACGGCGAAGAAGCUUCUGUCUCGGGCAGAAAGUUAUGGUACUAAAACCAGUUAAGACGGACAAGCUGCAAGCAGCCUGGCAGGGUCCCUAUCAGAUAGUGGAAAAGAGAGGGGACACCACUUACGUAAUUGCCAGCUGUCACGAUGAAAACUUAAGAAAGAUGUUUCACGUGAACAUGCUGAAGGAGUACUUGCAGAGACCCGAGGAAGUGUCAGCCAUAUGUAGCCCUGCGCACGAGGACGCAGAUGGUUUACCCAUACCCGACUUAUUAACCCCUAAAUCCCCGGUUGAAAUAGUGAGCCAAGUACAGAUUGGGGACAGACUCAGCCCAGUUGAGAGGGAGCAGCUACACAAACUGCUCCGGGAGAAACAAGCCAUGUUCUUCCAAGAACCAGGGUACACGGAGCUGACCACUCACCAAGUAGAUACCCCCGGCCAAAACCCUUUGAGACAAGCUCCCUACCGAAUUCCGGAGGCAGUAAGGACAGGCAUGAAAAAGGAAAUAGAUGAGAUGCUGCGAUUAGGGGUCAUUGAAGCUUCCGAUAGCCCCUGGGCAUCCCCGGUGGUCCUGGUCCCCAAAAAGGACGGCACCACCAGAUUCUGUGUGGACUACCGGAAACUCAAUGACAAAACUGUCACCGAUGCAUACCCCAUGCCCAGGGUGGAUGAGCUACUAGAUCGCAUAGCCAAGGGGAACUACCUAACUACCAUUGACCUCUGUAAGGGUUACUGGCAAAUCCCCCUGGCCAGGGAGGCUGUCCCCAAGUCGGCCUUCGUCACCCCGUUCGGUUUGUACCACUUUAAGGUCAUGCCGUUCGGGAUGAAGAAUGCCCCCGCCACAUUCCAACGCUUGGUGGACAGACUCCUUGAUGGCUUCCAGGAGUUUGCCUGCGCAUACCUGGACGACAUAGCGAUUCAUAGCGAGACCUGGGAGGAACACUUAGCUCAUGUGGGAAUAGUUCUGGACCAGAUCCGAGCCGCCGGCCUAACUCUAAAGCCAGAGAAGUGUCACUUUGGGAUGGCGAAGGUUCAGUACCUGGGUCACCGGGUGGGCUGUGGGAAGCAACGACCGGAGCCAGCCAAAAUAGAAGCGGUCGCCAACUGGCCCACUCCCCACACUAAGACCCAAGUACUAGCUUUUCUGGGUACCGCUGGGUACUACAGAAAAUUUGUACCGGAGUAUAGCGCCAUUGCCAAACCCCUGACCGACCUGACAAAGAAAAACCUUCCCCGACAGGUCCUGUGGUCUCCCCUCUGUGAAACGGCUUUCCAAGCCCUCAAAACUGCGUUGAUUAAUGCUCCUGUCUUGGCUGCCCCAGCCCCUAAUCGACGUUUUAUUGUCCAUACAGACGCUUCCAUGUUCGGGCUGGGAGCUGUCCUCAGCCAAGUAGGAGAUGAUGGGAAGGAACACCCGAUUGCCUACAUCAGUCGAAAACUCCUACCAAGCGAAGUUAGCUAUGCAGCGGUAGAAAAGGAGUGUUUGGCUCUGGUGUGGGCACUAAAGAAGUUAACCCCCUAUUUGUAUGGACAAGAGUUCACUCUGGUUACAGACCAUAACCCGCUGGUGUGGCUCAACCGGGUCGCUGGGGACAAUGGCAGAUUGUUACGCUGGAGCUUAUCCCUGCAGCCCUUUAAUUUCACAAUCACCUACCGACCCGGGAAGCAGAACGGCAACGCCGACGGAUUAUCCCGGCAAACAGAUCUCAGCCCAGCCUAACCCCACGAGUCUGGACAGCCUUAGUAUGCCCCGAAAAGGGGUCAGACAGUGUCUGCCAGAGUGUUCCACAAAGAGGGAGCAUUGUUACAAAAGACUGGAAAUCACUAUGUUGCUGUUUUAACUCACCGAUUGAUACUGUUUGCCACUGCAUAAGUUAAGCAGAAAACCACACGAAUGGAUUAUGCGAACCCUUAUGAAGGCUCCAUUCGUGGUACGAACGGGGGACCCCCCACAAACUGGCGUGUGCCGCCACUUAACCCCGUCACCCCACAAACUACCGAACGGUCGACCACCCGGCCCUCGGAGUGUGGCAGCCAUUAACCACCCAGGUGUCUGCGGUUUGCGGUUAACCACAACAUAAUUGGUAGGCCUGGGGGCAUCGACGUUCGCACCCAAAGUACC
Molecule: long non-coding RNA, 2125 nt
Filed under: Pelobates cultripes (western spadefoot toad)
Lineage: Eukaryota; Metazoa; Chordata; Amphibia; Anura; Pelobatidae
Source: RNAcentral